GGCUCAGGAUGAACGCUGGCGGCGUGCUUAAGACAUGCAAGUCGAACGAAGAGAUUGUAGUAAUACGGUCUCUGAGUGGCGAAUGGGUGCGUAACACGUAGGUGAUCUGCCCCGAAGUGUGGAAUAACAGUCCGAAAGGACUGCUAAUACCGCAUGUGGUCCCGGAGGUUAGAGGCUCCGGGUCUAAAGCAGCAAUGCGCUUCGGGAGGGGCCUGCGGCCCAUCAGCUUGUUGGUAGGGUAAUGGCCUACCAAGGCAACGACGGGUAGGGGACCUGAGAGGGUGGCCCCCCACAUUGGCACUGACACACGGGCCAAACUCCUACGGGAGGCAGCAGUCGGGAAUAUUGCACAAUGGGCGAAAGCCUGAUGCAGCAACGCCGCGUGCGCGAUGAAGGCCUUCGGGUUGUAAAGCGCUUUUCGGGAGGAUGAGGAAGGACAGUACUCCCGGAAUAAGGUACGGCUAACUACGUGCCAGCAGCCGCGGUAAAACGUAGGUACCGAGCGUUAUCCGGAUUUACUGGGCGUAAAGCGCGUUCAGGCGGCUUGGCAAGUCGGGCAUGAAAUCUCUCGGCUCAACCGGGAGGGGCUGUCCGAUACUGCUAGGCUUGAGGGCAGUAGAGGCGGGUGGAAUUCCGGGUGUAGUGGUGAAAUGCGUAGAUAUCCGGAGGAACACCAGUGGCGAAAGCGGCCCGCUGGGCUGCACCUGACGCUCAAACGCGAAAGCUAGGGGAGCGAACGGGAUUAGAAACCCCGGUAGUCCUAGCUGUAAACGAUGUUGACUGGGUGUCAGCGGUCUAAACCCCGCUGGUGCCGUAGCAAACGCGUUAAGUCAACCGCCUGGGGACUACGGCCGCAAGGUU
Molecule: ribosomal RNA, 861 nt
Filed under: uncultured bacterium
Lineage: Bacteria
Description: bacterial SSU rRNA
Rfam family: Bacterial small subunit ribosomal RNA
Source: RNAcentral